Molecule: ribosomal RNA, 497 nt
Filed under: Leptosphaeria spegazzinii
Lineage: Eukaryota; Fungi; Ascomycota; Dothideomycetes; Pleosporales; Leptosphaeriaceae
Description: eukaryotic LSU rRNA
Rfam family: 5.8S ribosomal RNA (bases 147-300)
Source: RNAcentral
CAUUACCUAGAGUUGUAGGCUUUGCCUGCUAUCUCUUACCCAUGUCUUUUGAGUACCUUACGUUUCCUCGGUGGGUUCGCCCACCGAUUGGACAAACUUAAACCCUUUGCAGUUGAAAUCAGCGUCUGAAAAAACUUAAUAGUUACAACUUUCAACAACGGAUCUCUUGGUUCUGGCAUCGAUGAAGAACGCAGCGAAAUGCGAUAAGUAGUGUGAAUUGCAGAAUUCAGUGAAUCAUCGAAUCUUUGAACGCACAUUGCGCCCCUUGGUAUUCCAUGGGGCAUGCCUGUUCGAGCGUCAUUUGUACCUUCAAGCUCUGCUUGGUGUUGGGUGUUUGUCUCCUGUAGACUCGCCUUAAAACAAUUGGCAGCCGGCGUAUUGAUUUCGGAGCGCAGUACAUCUCGCGCUUUGCACUCAUAACGACGACAUCCAAAAGUACAUUUUUACACUCUUGACCUCGGAUCAGGUAGGGAUACCCGCUGAACUUAAGCAUAUCA